Molecule: ribosomal RNA, 979 nt
Filed under: Salmonella enterica
Lineage: Bacteria; Pseudomonadati; Pseudomonadota; Gammaproteobacteria; Enterobacterales; Enterobacteriaceae
Description: partial 23S ribosomal RNA
Rfam family: Bacterial large subunit ribosomal RNA
Source: RNAcentral
AAAGAAGCAGAGGGGGCUUAGUGGUGGGGUGACUGCGUACCUUUUGUAUAAUGGGUCAGCGACUUAUAUUCUGUAGCAAGGUUAACCGUAUAGGGGAGCCGGAGGGAAACCGAGUCUUAAUUGGGCGUUAAGUUGCAGGGUAUAGACCCGAAACCCGGUGAUCUAGCCAUGGGCAGGUUGAAGGUUGGGUAACACUAACUGGAGGACCGAACCGACUAAUGUUGAAAAAUUAGCGGAUGACCUGUGGCUGGGGGUGAAAGGCCAAUCAAACCGGGAGAUAGCUGGUUCUCCCCGAAAGCUAUUUAGGUAGCGCCUCGUGAAUUCAUCUCCGGGGGUAGAGCACUGUUUCGGCUAGGGGGCCAUCCCGGCUUACCAACCCGAUGCAAACUGCGAAUACCGGAGAAUGUUAUCACGGGAGACACACGGCGGGUGCUAACGUCCGUCGUGAAGAGGGAAACAACCCAGACCGCCAGCUAAGGUCCCAAAGUCAUGGUUAAGUGGGAAACGAUGUGGGAAGGCCCAGACAGCCAGGAUGUUGGCUUAGAAGCAGCCAUCAUUUAAAGAAAGCGUAAUAGCUCACUGGUCGAGUCGGCCUGCGCGGAAGAUGUAACGGGGCUAAACCAUGCACCGAAGCUGCGGCAGCGACGCUGAUGCGUUGUUGGGUAGGGGAGCGUUCUGUAAGCCUGCGAAGGUGGCCUGUGAGGGUUGCUGGAGGUAUCAGAAGUGCGAAUGCUGACAUAAGUAACGAUAAAGCGGGUGAAAAGCCCGCUCGCCGGAAGACCAAGGGUUCCUGUCCAACGUUAAUCGGGGCAGGGUGAGUCGACCCCUAAGGCGAGGCCGAAAGGCGUAGUCGAUGGGAAACGGGUUAAUAUUCCCGUACUUGGUGUUACUGCGAAGGGGGGACGGAGAAGGCUAUGUUGGCCGGGCGACGGUUGUCCCGGUUUAAGCGUGUAGGUGUGUGUUCCAGGUAAAUCCGGUU